GUGCAGCAGGCGCGAAACCUCCGCAAUACACGAAAGUGUGACGGGGCCAUCCCGAGUGCCGUCCGCUGAGGACGGCUUUUCCCCAGUGUACACAGCUGGGGGAAUAAGGAGAGGGCAAGCCUGGUGUCAGCCGCCGCGGUAAUACCAGCUCUCCGAGUGGUGGGGACGCUUAUUGGGCCUAAAGCAUCCGUAGCCGGCUGGGCAAGUCCUCCGUUAAAUCCAACGAUUCAAUCGUUGGGCUGCGGGGGAUACUGUCCGGCUUGGGGGCGGGAGAGGCCGACGGUAUUCCCGGGGUAGGGGUGAAAUCCUAUAAUCCCGGGAGGACCACCAGUGGCGAAGGCUGUCGGCUAGAACGCGCCCGACGGUGAGGGAUGAAAGCUGGGGGAGCGAACCGGAUUAGAUA
Molecule: ribosomal RNA, 403 nt
Filed under: uncultured microorganism
Description: bacterial SSU rRNA
Rfam family: Archaeal small subunit ribosomal RNA
Source: RNAcentral